GUAAAGGUUUGGUUGCACUGACUUAAGACAAGCAUGCAGUACAUAUGGCUCCAUGUUAGCUUCCUUACAAAGAGAUGUCAGUUUCUCUUAAUCCAGGCCAGCAGCAUUCCUGCUGUUCCAGUCCUGGGAUUUCCCCAAGAGUGAUUUCCAAUGUUGCUGAGUUCGUGGUGGCUUAAAUGCUGACGGAUGACCACUCAAGAUUGAUAUGAACACAAAACAGAUGCUACUUGUGAUGCUAUGCCAGAAGAAGACUCUGCUUCUGAGAACAGAAGGACAAAUGGAUUAAACAACUGUACCACUUAUGCCCUUUCAAAGAAUGGGUUCUUCUGGAUAACCUACUGCAGCAUCUCUCCAGACUUCAUGGUUGCCGUCAUCACUGGAUUUCAGAUGGAGCAAACACAUCUAUUGUGGUUCUUCAGCAAGACCUUCAUAUCAUAAACCUUACUGAUAGCCAUCUUCUUCAGCUGGUUGGGACUCUUUGUGAUUUUUCCCAUUUACUGUUGUAAGUGAUGCUAAUCAGAUCCUUUCCGCAUUGUUGCCAGUUUAAAGAACCUUUGAAGGCAUUUGGAUAUAUUGGGGAGGGAACACCAAUAUAUUAUAAAUCCAGGAAGUUGAUCAAAGUAAUGGAACAACCUCCAGGCUCCAGUUCUAUCAGAGUUUGUGUAUUAUGGAUCUUCUUCCAUAUACCCUGGUGUAACUGAGGACUUAAACAGGUGUAAGUGAGAUCAAACCUUUUGUCUUGUGUUGAGAUUUAUAAGAGAGCCCAAACUCCAACCCAUCUGGAUAACCUAUUGUGUGACUCAAUCCUUAAAAAUGAAGAAAUACUACACGAUUCUGCAGAAUACUUUUUUUUUUUUUUUUGCAGGGUGGCAGGGGGAGGAGAAUAUGGAAGCUUUAAAAGAAAAAUAGAAUCCUUCACAUUCAAAAGUUUCCAGUUUCCAUGAUUCUACCCUGAACUGGAGUUAAAGAGGGAGAAGUCAGAAGGGGAUUCCCCCCCUCCCACAUUCUCUCCAGAAUGACCUUAGUUAGUAUUGCUUCCUCAACUUUGUGAAGAUUCUUAUUGCCUUAGAGAUAUUAAGCCACAUGUUUCUUUCUGACAAGCCCAUUCAGCAAAGGAAAUCAAAGAGAAAUUCAAUAAGCUAAAUUUUAGGAGGAAAUAUGUCAUGGCCAUAAAAGAGAACUCCCCACAGGAGCACUUCCUGCAACAUGCUCUAACUGAGUAGUCAGAAGGGACAUUUAUUUAUUUACUAGGUAGAAGAAAGGGUCACAAUCAGACUGAAAUAUAAAGCCUCAAUGCACGCAUUAAUACAGAGACCUGGUCUGAACAUGGAAUUUCUAUUCUGCUGGAAAUUUUGAUAUUGUGAAAGUUGUUUGUGUUCCAAAUUGGAAUAAAAAGUCAAAAUUUCUCAAGGAAUGGAAAUUCUAAAAAUUCGAUGUGAAAACAUCAGACCGUUUUCUUGGAUAAUGCAGAAACAGUAUAAUAUUAAAUACAACAUCAUGUAAAAUAUUAAAUAUAAGUCUAGAUGGAAUUGAUCAAAAUGCUAAAGUAAAAUAGUAAAAAGUGAAAUAGUUUAACCUUAUCAGAAUGAACCAUUUGGCAUUACUGAAAUGAGAAAGUUGAAAGAAUUCAUUUCAGCUUUUCUCCCUGUAACAGCAUAGCUAGCUCCUUAAGUAAAAUUGGGCUCAGCACUUUUGUUCCAGGUCAGUGCCCUAGUGUGGUUUAAUGAGGAGGAUGGGGCUGCUCGGGGAGCUAUAAAGAACUGUUCACAAGCCUUAGAGGGAGAGUUCAGAACCCAGAGUUGAGAAAGGGAGAGAGUUCCCUGGUUGAGCAGUAGAGCCAAAUCAGGCUGGUGAAAGCAGGAGGCAGUCAGGGGUCACCUACAAACUUCCCCAGGCCAGAGAUCGGGGGUCAGAGAGGGCUGAAGGCUGAGAGCAGCAGAGGGAGACACCUGCUGGAGAGCUGAAGCAGGAGGCCAAGAAGAGGGGUGGGAGUUGAAGGCAGGGGAAUGAUGAAAGGGUGAGCCCGAUGAAUACUCCAAGGAAGAGUUGGAGCUGUACAUGACAGAUGACCUGGGACAUAGUGAGAGAUGCUGAAGCUGUAUUUGCUGUUGGACUGUUUGGAAGAAUAUACCAUUUGGACUGUGUCAUGGGGAUUCUGGUUUACGGUAGUAGGACAUCUUUAUACACUCUAUAGACUCUAUAUUUAUAUACUCUGAAGGCUGAACUGAGUUUAUUUAAAGAAUGAAGAAGGAAACUGAGUCAAUGGGCCAUGUGCAGGGCUGCCCUGAGGCCACAAGAGUGUAGAUUUGGGGAAAAACCCACCAUGCAAGACUGAGAUGACCAAGUACGCUGGCAU
This is a long non-coding RNA of Chelonia mydas (Green sea turtle), 2356 nucleotides long. RefSeq lists it as uncharacterized. The record is from RefSeq and is a predicted model, not a curated record. The transcript is spliced from 3 exons. NCBI's taxonomy places the organism in Eukaryota, Metazoa, Chordata, Testudines, Cheloniidae.